RNAcentral lists this transfer RNA (50 nucleotides) under Dulichium arundinaceum. Its description in RNAcentral is "partial tRNA-Leu". The record is from RNAcentral. Lineage: Eukaryota; Viridiplantae; Streptophyta; Magnoliopsida; Poales; Cyperaceae.
GAAAUCCGUCGAUUUUNUAAAUCANGAGGGUUCAAAUCCCUCUAUCCCCA